UACGAAGGGGGCUAGCGUUGCUCGGAAUCACUGGGCGUAAAGCGCACGUAGGCGGCUUUCUAAGUCAGGGGUGAAAUCCUGGAGCUCAACUCCAGAACUGCCUUUGAUACUGGAGAGCUUGAGUCCGGAAGAGGUGAGUGGAACUCCGAGUGUAGAGGUGAAAUUCGUAGAUAUUCGGAAGAAACACCAGUGGCGAAGGCGGCUCACUGGUCCGGUACUGACGCUGAGGUGCGAAAGCGUGGGGAGCAAACAGGG
This 255-nucleotide ribosomal RNA is filed under the name uncultured bacterium. RNAcentral's name for it is "partial 16S ribosomal RNA". It matches the Rfam family "Bacterial small subunit ribosomal RNA", at positions 524 to 777 of the family's 1533-position model. The record is from RNAcentral.